UGGUGUUGCGGGGCGAAUAAUUGAUGAAGGCAUAGCCGCGCAUCUGGUCCACGAUGUGAAACAGCGGGUUCCAGUCGAACAUCUGCAACAUGACGGGCGGCAGGGCGUUGGCCACGAACAUCUUGCCCGAGGCGAUCAUGUUGAUGCGCUG
Molecule: non-coding RNA, 151 nt
Filed under: uncultured Paracoccus sp.
Lineage: Bacteria; Pseudomonadati; Pseudomonadota; Alphaproteobacteria; Rhodobacterales; Paracoccaceae
Description: Ruegeria cis2 sRNA
Rfam family: Ruegeria cis2 sRNA
About the family: Cis-encoded. Targets ABC transporter.
Source: RNAcentral